GGGGGUUGGAACUACAUGAUCCUUGAGGUCCCUUCCAACCCGGGUCAUUCUGUGAAUCUGUGUGAUUCUGUGAUUUAAAAAAUACUGCCUUCACAGAUGGUAGAAUAUUUGUAGUUUUAGGGAGAGGUAGCAGACACUGCUGAUCUGGGUGUUCAAAGGAAAGGUCCCCUCCACCCUUCAUGCUACUGAUGCUGCUUGGAGUAAGUGGGCUGAGUUGAUUGCACAACGAGCGCGGAUAGAGAACCUCAGUCAUCCAGGAAUCUUAGAGAUGAUCAUGGAGUGACCUGAAGGUAAAAAAUUAAGCACAUCACCAGGAGGUGUAAUGUGCUGAAGAGGCUCCAUUGUACAAGGAACUACCAGAAAAUGAAAUCUGCCCCACUCAUGGAUGGAUCAUGUAUUGGGAGACGUUGCAGAUGGAAAGCUGCUGUGUGGAGCCCCACACAACAAGUUGCAGAGGCCCCAGAAGGAAAAGGAGAAUCAAGCCAAUUUGCAGAGGUAAAGUGUGUCCAGCUGGCCAUGGAUGUCGCUGAACAGGAGAAGCGGCCAGUGCUUUAUACUGGCUCAUGGAUGGUGGCAAAUGCCUUAUGGAGGUGGUUACAGCAGUGGGAACAAAACAACUGGCAGCAGAGGGGUAAACCUUAAAAGUGCAUUUUACAGAGCACUGGCCAAUAACCAUCAUGUUUAUGAUUCCACACAGCAAACUGUACCACUUAAAUAUUAAAAAUCCUCACCCUUAACACUGUACAUAAUUGACAUACUGAAAUGGAAGAAAACACAAUGGUUGGUCUGUCAUUCAAAGCGUAACUGCAGCAAGGAAGUUCAAGCUAAGGAAGAAGAACUAACAAGCUGAACCCCUCGCUGAAAAUUCAGAAAUCCUAAAUGUGGGGAAAAUCCCACAACCCAACAACCUCUGAAAAGAAAACAUUAAAGUAUGCAGUACAAAGACCUGUGAAUAUGCCUGGAAAAUUAAGCUUCCCUGUCUUUAGGCUCAUCACCAUACGCUUAGUGUUUUCUACAUGGAAAACCUAGACCUCAAGAACUACAGGAAUAGUUUCUGAUAUUUUACAGCUGAGUCUUGAUACUUUCAUAAUACGUUCAAUGAGAAAUUGAUACAUUUAUAUAGUGUAUUUAACUCAUGGGAAAACUAUUCUUGAGACGUAGUCCGAAAUAGCAGGUAACUGAGAUAGUAGGCAGUAAUCAAGUUGUCAGUCCUGAACUGCUACUUUCCCACUUAGCAGCAGAUGGCACUCACACUCAGCCACAGAGCAAGUUAGAACUGCUCAUCCCCUUUCUGUUUACAGCCAUCUACAGCUGCCUUUCCGUCAGAUGACUCAAAUAUAUCACCUUCCAACUAUUAAAGUUCUUGAUCCUAGAAACUAAGACUUACAUUCUUAUUCAUCCAAGUCAUCACUUGAAUCAUUCUCGUCUCAUGUGUUUCAGAUUUCCAAGCUUAUCAUUCUUUGUGGUUUUUAUAAUCAUCGUCUCAUUUUAAGUUACGUCUUACACACACACACACAGAUUCCACUUUGUCGUUGCAGUAAGAAGAGAGAUCUUCACCACCCUACAUCCCUCACUGGGAAAACAUGAGGUCAAAUUCUUGAGCCUCACUGAGAAGCACAAUCAUGAAUUAGUUCCAAAGACUGGGAUAAACUCAACUGUUCAGUUUUUUGGAUGAAGACUUGCUGUGAUCACAAGACAUGCUGAGAUUACCUUUGGGAGCGCUGACCUGGUGACUAAGAAUUACUCUACUGGAAAUGUGUUCUCAGUUCAAAAUUAAGCUGCUCUUUCUUCCUGACAGGAUGAAAUACAUCCCACUGGAAAUACCAAUCCUGCAAGCUGAAGAAAAUCAUUACCUAUUCUAAGAUCACUAUUCAGAGCUUAAUUGUUUUGGUUUUCUUUGGGUCAUCAUAGGCUUUCAGUCUUCUGGGAGGAAAACAACCAGAAACAAUGAAAGGCUCGUACUCGUUAAGAUGGAAAAUUUCUCAACUCUGUGCUUUAAUAAGAGCAACUAAAUUACAUAGCUGCUGCCUAUUUUCACACUACAUGAAAUGCAUUUUCAUUUUUGAGGAUAGAUCUCACUGUUGAUUCACUUGCUCUGAAGAAAACCUCAAACAUGCAGCUAGGUGAUACUGACCAAGAAUGGAGCUAAAAACAAGCAAUGGAAUUCAGACAGUGAGUCCAAGCUUUUAUCACAAAUGAUGAGACUGAACUACUAGAUAAACUAUUUGUUACUGUUCCACCUUCCACUGGAAUACAGCAGAAUUGCCUCAGACAUAAUUCAAUAUAAUUCACUUUAAGUUCACAUCUACACUGACAGGUAAUUCAGAACAUGAGACUUAUGCUGGCAAAUGAGUACUUUGUAAAAUUUCUUUAAAUACUAGCAAAUAAUAAUUCCUCUCUAAGUCAUUUAUGCUUAUCUGCACUUCUCUAUGUACUUGGACUUCUAGGACUCCAAGAAAAAUGCUGAGCACAAAGUAGUCAAAUCCCAUGGAGAAGAUAAGAUUAUCAACAAGAAGUCUUACCAGAUGAAAAUGAUAGUUACUGCACUUCCUCAAAAUCCAGGCUGGUGCAAACGAUUCUUCAUCAGCAUGCAUCACCACAGUUUUUACUACACCUGAAAUAGCGAACACUCUGGUAAUACAGACCCACUUGUCAAAGUCCUACGGGAAAAACACUGAUAAAUCUUUCCAACUUUUGAAAAGCAGAACUGCUGGAAAUGAGAAAUUUGUGCUAAGAGAGAUCAUUUCUAAGAGGUCAUCGUGUUUGAGCCCUUAUCAGCUCAGUGGUUCACAGAGCAUCCUGCAGAAAAGGGCACAGCUAGUCCAUCUCUAACAGCAACGAUGACAACAGCUGCAUGACUACUAAGGAAAACAGCUGCUGGUUUUUAAAUCAAUGAAUAUCUGAAAAUCCAGGCAUUAUCAUAUAUUAAAAAUUACUUUUAGCAUA
Non-coding RNA from Coturnix japonica (Japanese quail), 2946 nucleotides. The record is from RefSeq and is a predicted model, not a curated record. Lineage: Eukaryota; Metazoa; Chordata; Aves; Galliformes; Phasianidae.